CCGCUUCCCUCUCCUUCCCCGCAGGUGAGCUCGGGCGAGGAGCGCUUCCGAGGGAGCCGCCGCUCCGACGAGCAGUCUUUUGCAGAGGGGAAGCCCCCACCCAGCUCCGAUCCUGGCGUUCGGCUGCCGCCGCGGCCCGGGAAGCGGGAUGGCGGGACGUCGGCACGCGCGGCCCUUCGGCACGGGGGGAGACGAGAGCCCGGAGCAGAGCCGUGGCCCCGCACCGCCAGCACGCCGGCAUCGCCCGCCGCGGCCGCAGGGUAACCUCACAGAGCAACAGAAAGCAACGUGAGAUACCUGCGGGAGCCGAAACACCCCCCGGGACUGUCUGAAGAGGCUGCUGAAAGCGCGGCUGAGUUUCUGCUAAGACACUUGCAAUAGGGUCGCUUUAAGAUACAGUUAAGGGCAAUUGCAACUCCAAAUCGGCCGCGCGGAUCCAGCACGGCCCCGGCACAGGCGGCCACGGAGCCACACGGCGCCUUCCAGCUCCGGCAUCGAACGGCCCCAAAGGAGGUUUUUCUGCGCGGGUUUGCUCCCAAACGCAGCAUCCCGGGGCGUUUCUGCCCCUCGUCUCCCGCUCGGAUUAACUGGAAGCACCGAAGCAGCACGAAGCCGCCGUCGGCGCUGGCGGAUCCCCCAGACUCCCGGCGUUAUCGGAGGAUCGCACCGAAGCCGCAGACGGACCCGUUCAUCCCCGGCCCGGGCAGACCUGCUCCCUGCGGCGCUUCCCAACAGGCUCCACCAGGUCCAGAGAAGCCGCCGUGAAAUGCAGCUUCUGCGGGGAUUUCGGGCAGCCGAAGACGUGUUUUUCCACUAGAGAAGCAGCUGGUGCCAGGCCUGGGGCUGGAGCAGCCGUUUUGGGGGCGUUUGGUGGAUUUUUCGCCCCCUCGAGAAGGAAGCGAGCCACCGUGCCGGGCUCCGGGUUGCUUCGUGUCUAAUUCACGCCGGAGGUAUCCCUGGAUCCACGAGCCCCGCGAGCUCGUGCUCUUGCCCGGUCGGGAAUGGCUUCGGACUCCGCUGGGCGCCGGGCGCUGCAGGGAUCUCGCCGCACGGCGCAGGCCAGGCCAGGCCUCCCCCUUCGACACCUGCUCACGCGGUGGGCAACGCUCGCGACGGAGCUUGGAUCCAGCCCGGUGCCGCCCCGGAGCCGCCUCUUCUCCCUCCCUGUUUCAGCUCCCCGGUCGCUCCCUUUCCGAACGAGGACGUUCCCAGCUCAAAGCGCCGGCGCCGGCUUUCCCGGGACUCGCGGGGCUCCGGGCAGCCCCCGGCCGAGGGCAGCCAGGCCAGGCCGCAUCCACGGCGGCUCCGGCAGAACGAGCUUAAAAGACUCUUUGCCAGCGCGUCGCUGAGGAGCUGGUGGUUCAAUUGCUGGGGGAGUUUGGCCUCAGACAGACAUGAAAUAAAAUAAAUCAGCACCGUCUUCCCCUCCGCCUUUCCCCUCCAUGUCGGUUUGGGGGCAGACUGCCAUCGCCAGCGCCGGGAAAAGCAAAGAGAAAUCCUGCAUUUAUUUGUCGCUGCUUUGAAAAUGCGUGUUUUUUUAGGGACAGAAAGCUCGGAGCGCUGCAGGCGGCACCGGGAGCUGGCGCGGGCAGGUCACUGCGGGGCGCAAGGCAGAGCCACCGCUCCGGACCCGGCAGGAGCGACUCUCCGGGCAGUAAAUUCCCGAAUCCCCUGGAUUUGCAGGCAGGCUGGGGCCAGCGCGGCUCCUCGCCUGAGCCGGGAGCAGAGCAUCCCGCGGGGCCCGUGCGGGAGCCCUCCCAGCCGGACCCCGGCCCCGCUCCCACCAGCCUCAGCCCGCCCAGGGCUCCGGUGCUGCGGAAUCGCCCACGGUCCCGGUUUUCCACCCCGGAGCGGGCUGAAGACCCCGACGCCUGCGCUGCUGCGGGCCCGGCAGAGCCGUUUGGGGGUUUGCGGGUGCGUGGAGCCGUGUGAGCUGCCGCUGACACCUGUGUGCAGCCGACGGACCCGGUUCCACCCGACGAGCCGCUUCGGGUGCCCCGGAAAGCAAAAUAAAGGGAAAAGCGGCUGAAAGCAGCUGCUCUCCGCAGCUCCGCUCGGCGACUUCGGAAAUCACCGGCUGCU
Dromaius novaehollandiae (emu) is the source of this 2082-nucleotide long non-coding RNA. RefSeq lists it as uncharacterized. NCBI's taxonomy places the organism in Eukaryota, Metazoa, Chordata, Aves, Casuariiformes, Dromaiidae. The record is from RefSeq and is a predicted model, not a curated record. The transcript has 4 exons.